GCUGUCGUCAGCUCGUGUCGUGAGAUGUUGGGUUCAGUCCCGCAACGAGCGCAACCCUUGUCCUGUGUUACCAGCGCGUGGGGGGGGGGAUUCACAGGUGCCUCCCGGCGUAAGUCGGAGGAAGGCGGGGAUGACGUCAAAUCAUCAUGCCCCUGAUGUCCUGGGCUACACACGUGCUACAAUGGGCGGUACAAAGGGAGGCGAAGCCGCGAGGCGGAGCGAAACCCAUAAAGCCGCUCGUAGUUCGGAUUGCAGUCUGCAACUCGCCUGCAUGAAGUCGGAAUCGCUAGUAAUCGCGGA
RNAcentral lists this ribosomal RNA (300 nucleotides) under uncultured bacterium. Its description in RNAcentral is "bacterial SSU rRNA". It matches the Rfam family "Bacterial small subunit ribosomal RNA", at positions 1048 to 1348 of the family's 1533-position model. The record is from RNAcentral.